UACAGAGGUCCCAAGCGUUGUUCGGAUUCAUUGGGCGUAAAGGGCUCGUAGGCGGCCAACUAAGUCGGACGUGAAAUCCCCAGGCUCAACCUGGGAACUGCGUCCGAUACUGGAUGGCUUGAAUUCGGGAGAGGGAUGCAGAAUUCCAGGUGUAGCGGUGAAAUGCGUAGAUAUCUGGAGGAAUACCGGUGGCGAAGGCGGCAUCCUGGACCGACAUUGACGCUGAUGAGCGAAAGCUAGGGGAGCAAACGGG
RNAcentral lists this ribosomal RNA (253 nucleotides) under uncultured bacterium. Its description in RNAcentral is "partial 16S ribosomal RNA". It matches the Rfam family "Bacterial small subunit ribosomal RNA", at positions 524 to 776 of the family's 1533-position model. The record is from RNAcentral.